CGCGCAGCCACCUUAACCAAUGGACGGAAAUAACCCCGGAAGACUAAAAAUAAGGCCCAAAAAAACAUUAUGCCGGGAAGGGUUAAUGUUCAAAAUGAUUUACCGCCGAAGGAGGGGACGGCGGCCAAUCUUUUUGUGGGGGAGGAAAGGCCCCACCAAAAUAAUAACAGGUCCGGCUUCUAAAAGAAGAACCCCGAAAAUGGUAACUGAAACACGAACCCAGGCCUUAGGGGGCCAACCAGGCAAAAAAAUUUUGCAUGGGGCAAAACCACAACAAGGUUAAUCCAAUUGUUUUCUGCUAAAAAAACUUUUUGUCAUCCCAAAAACCAUUGAUAAAAAAGGGGGGGGCAAUUUCUGGUGCCACCCCCCGCGAAAAACCCACCCCCUCAGGUGGUAAGAAUAAUUAUGGGGCCAAAACCAUCCUAACCCGCCUCUGUAAUUUUUCGGUUAAAUCUGUCCCCUCAACGAAUAGGCGGCCGGAAAUACUGCAAAGCUAGGGAGUGGAAAAGGAAAACGGUCCUCGGAAGGAAGGGUAAAAAUCUUUUGAUUUAUUGAUAACCACCGGGGACGAAGGCGUUCUACAAAAACACGUCCAACGGUGAGGAAUAAAAGCUGGGGAACCAAACCGAAUUAAAUACCUGGGUAGCCCCAGCUGUAAACUAUGCAAAUUCAUUGAUGCAUUGGUUUGUGACCAAUGAAUUGCUGCAGGAAACCCGUUAAUUUUGCCGCCAGGAAAUUACUUACGCAAUUAUAAAACUCAAAGGAAUUGACGG
Molecule: ribosomal RNA, 773 nt
Filed under: uncultured crenarchaeote
Lineage: Archaea; Thermoproteati; Thermoproteota
Description: partial 16S ribosomal RNA
Rfam family: Archaeal small subunit ribosomal RNA
Source: RNAcentral